Long non-coding RNA from Gasterosteus aculeatus aculeatus (three-spined stickleback), 6771 nucleotides. Lineage: Eukaryota; Metazoa; Chordata; Actinopteri; Perciformes; Gasterosteidae. The record is from Ensembl.
AAAAGUGGUAUUUCUCUACCUUAGUGGGAUUUCUGGCACUGAGAGGAGGAAGCUAGUCUCUCAUAGUCCGGACAGUAAGAGCUGAGUGCCAGCCGUAAGCAGACUGCAAGGUGUUCAUCAGUCAUGGUGGAUCUGUAUUUUGACUUGAUGAUUUUCAUAUGUGAAAAGGCAGACUCACAAUUGGACAUUCAUGUCAGGUGUUGCUCUGGAUUUGAGCUCAAAUGUCAUUCUUCAGUGUGAGGAUCUCAUUCUCAACAGCACAGCUAUCCAGGUUGAAGAGUAAUGCCACUUUGGACGUUAUACAAUCCACAUCUAUAUUUUCCCCAAAUGGAAAACAGAGAUAGCUGACAACAGGCUCAAUGGAUGCAAAGUCAAGUCCUGUCAAAUUCUGACAAGAUGCUCUGCACUUGCUCAUCAUAACGUGCACUCUCAAGCUCCGCCCAGUCUUUGCCCAUAGCCUGGGCUGCCAACUGUCACGCAUUGGCCGUGAGACUCACGCAUUUCAUCGGUUUCACAUGCUCUCACGCCACACCUCCGAUUUCUCACGCCAAAAAAACUGGGAGACUACCAUUUAAAAAGAGGGGCGCCAGAACACAACAGUAAUGUAAGGUUCCCUUUCCUGUCCAUGGUGACGUUUACCACGCGCUCGGUAUCGCGCUGCGCGGAUACACUCCCAUCAGCGGAGCAGAAAGCGCGUCGUCGGUGUUCGUCUGCACCCCCCCCCCAACCGGUCUCACACCAAGGUUUUUGGAAAAGUCGGCAGCUCUGUUUCCCUGUUUCUAAAUACAAGAGAAACAGAUCGGAGCCCGGGAUCGACUGGUAGACCGGUUAAGGAGUUCCUCCAAGUGCUCUUUCCAACCACCACAAUUCCACAAUCUCCUCCCCUGCCUGAGCCGGCCUGACCAAAGCUCUGCUUUCACUUUGUAACUAGUCUAAUGAAGCCAGAAGUUCCUUCAGUCUAAACAAAAGUCCUUCUCCAUAAUCUCCUCAAAAUCCUCCUACACUUGAAUUUUUUCCCCAGCUACCACCAAAGCUUCAGUCGUUCUGGCCAACCAGUCCCGUUUAAAGCCCCUUUCACCACUGGUGUCCACCGGCAGCUUCUUAGGCUGCUGACAGGUACUGCUGACCUUGCAACCACAGCUUGUGUCUCCUCCCUCUAUUGUGUGUGUGUGUGUGUGUGUAUAACUGGGCGCAGGUUUCAUCACCUGGCGCAUCGUUAAGAGCCCCGGUUUCCUUUCCACUCAUCCCUAGAUUAUUUUGCCAGCUCAGUGGUAGUCGAUUCUUGGCCGCUCUACGCUUACGCGGCCUCCCUGCAUUCCCUCUUCAACUCCACCGGACAUUCCCCGCUUCUCCUGCAAACCAUCCUCCAUUAAAACCAUAUUCACCAACUCUCUGCGUAUCUGCUCUUGGGUCCAGCUUAGCCGAUCCAAAAAAAUUCAUGACCGGAAACAAAAGUCCAACAACAAAGCACAAUGUAGGUUCGUACCAGGCAGGCCAUUCCGAAAGAAACUCAACCUCCAAACAGAGCACUUCUGAAGGAACAUAAUUGGUACUAUGUUCAUCAUGUUUCUAGAGUAUUACAGCGGUCUGUGCAUAUAGAAUACUUAAAGAAAUGUUUUUGUCACCUAAAAGACAAGAACCAAGACCAGAAGAGGAUACUGGACUUAGUAAGAGUCAGAAAAGACCAGAAAAAAAAAUCCUUUGAUACUUUUAUUACUGUUUUAUUAAAGAAUCCCGCAAAAAUAUGAAAUAAAGGACAUCUUGAAACAUUUCACAAAAAACGUAUUAAACUAAUGUCAUAGUAUGAAGAUGUCAUAGCCUAAAAUGCCAGCUAAGAAUACAUAAUAUGUAUGUAUGUCAUAAAACAAACAAAUAGCAAAAUGGAUGCCCUCCCUUUACAUGUUUCGCAGGUAUGGGUUUUCCUGGUAAGAACCGGUGGGAUGGAUAUCUUCUCCGGGUUCCCCAGAGUGUUGCUGGUGAGAAGCACAUCUGGAUCUCCAUCCUAAGGCUGAUGGCCCCGAAAACUAGCCUGAAUAAGUGUAAAGAAAAUGGCUGCUGAUCUCAAUUUGGGUCACCUGUCUCUGUCUUGUGUUAGCAUAUUGACUCGGCAGACUACUCAUUCCCCUCGUUUCUUACACACAUGCUAUAAUUGUAUGUGAUUUCUCUGCAUUUGCUUUAAUUAGACUUUUUAAAAUUGGAUUUUAUUUAAUGUGCUACAUGUACCUUUAACCAAGGAAGUGAAACAUACAAUUAGAACAUGAUUGUUUCUCAAAAUUAGAAGUUAAUUGUUUAGAUGUCCAUGAGUAUAAUUACAUGUUGAUUGUGGAAAUUAAAUAAACUGAAUCAACUAUACAAGAACCUUCAUAUGCUUGGACAUGGAGGCUUUCUGAUUACAUACUAUAUAUUUCAUGCAAUUGUCAGUCAUCAGCUAAGUAGUUGUACACUGUGUGCAAAGAGAAGUCUUUGAUGUCUUGUUUCUGGGUAAAAGCCUGUUUGAUGUUUAGCAUGUUUUUUUGUGAUGGUGACAAAGAAAAUCACUGGUUUGAGGAAACGGGGGCUUUUAUAAACCUUUGGAUUGAUACAUGAGAAUUAAGCUCAAGCGAAAGCAAGUAAUUCUUAUAAUGCUAAAACAUUUCUGGAAAGGAAAGGUUUUGUGUCUUGGACUUUAUGAUGAGCUGAAUACAGUGAUACAGUACGUAUCUCUGCUGUCCAUUGUCUUAAGUUAUAUAACAAUAACUGUAAAUUUGGGGUCCCCCAAAAGGACGCACGACUGUGCCAGAACCAAACUAUCACGUAGUCAUCACGAACAAAUAUAUGAAUGCUUCAACUCGUUCGAAACGUUUGUCUUUGCUACAAUAUAGAGAAUUCUGUUUGAAAAUGCUCAAAACACAACUUCAACAACGAUCACAAGAGUUAGAAAAUUGGGGAAGCAAAAGUUGAACUAUCCUAACAAAUAAACUGUUAUAGAUAGAUGAAAUCCAGCAUUCUGAUUGGUUGAGAGUGAAUCACAGGGUGUACUUUACUAAAGCAUCAAGGUACGAGAGGCUGUACUUUAUUGUCCAACAAUGUUGUUUGAGGGCGUUGUUAGGCCCAACGUGGCGCGGAGGGCCGGCAAACCUAGAAAUGAAAUUAUAAUUAGUAAGUAAAUAGCUGCCUUUCAGCACAAAAUAGUAUUAGCCACCAAACGUUGCGUAUCGCAUUUCAGUAGUCUAGAUAAAAAAUUGUCCCCAUACGUGCACGUAAACAGCAUUAGGUCCCGCACCAUCUCCUUCAUUCACACCGCUCAUGACGUCCACCUUAAUUGUCCGGUUGCAAAAGCUUGCAUUGCCUGAAACCGAUCAUUUGUGGGAUUUCCGUUUUUUUUUCGGCGAUCGCCACAGAGGUAAAAGCUAAAAUACAAACAGUCGCACAAAAUCUAACCUGCUACUUUGAGUGCGCAGUGAUAUGGUCGCUCGGGUCAAUGUGAACAGCAACUGUACAUUAUUGCCCAAUAAUGUACCCCUCGUGACUCUCUCUUAACCAAUCAGAACGCUGGAUUUCAUCUACCCAUGUUAUAAUGAGCCAUAAUGUACUGUACCUGUUUACAUUGACUUGAGCGUUUCAUAUAUGCACUCAAAAUAACAAUUCGAUUUUGACAACAUCCUUGAACUAUAACAUUAUUAACAAUAAAGUACAGCCCCUCGUACCUUAUUGCUUAAAUAAACAUCAUACAUCUCACAGGUAUGUUGGCUGAGAAAGCUUUCCAGUCACUAACAACCAGUGAUGCCAUACUGCAAGAAAAAUGUAAUUUUCUAAGGUAUGCAACACUGUAAAUUGCCAUGGGAGUUCAGGUUAACGGCUUUCCACUGAAAUGUAUAGGCAGCACAGCAAACUCCCAGGAACCAGCCCCUUGUUCAGGUGAGACCUUAAAACGCAACCAGCGGUUAGUUUCAUUACUGCUGUAACUAUGCAUAAGUAUAGUUAGUGUCACGACCAGGAACACAAGGGAACCAAAAACAAGACACUCAAUAAACUAAGCAGAGACAAAGGACACACAUGGUAGAAAUACACUGGGACGGUGAAGGUGAUUGGACACAGAAGGAAACAAUCAGGAACAUGGCAGACAAUAUCAGGGGAUAACCCUGAUAUUGGAUAACAAUGCAGGAAUUGAAGCUAUCCCAGGUACAAGAAGAUGGAGGAAACAACAAUCCACAACAGUGCCAGUUAAUAGUGGACCUAACAUCUGUGAAGCUCCAGGUACCAUUUUUGCAUCAGUUUUAUGUGUGUCAGGGAUGGCAUUUAGUUUCUGCAUGUUACACACACAUUAUCUUAAGAAAAAGAACCUGGUAUAAUUGUUAGGUGGCAGUCCUGUUGUAUACAGGAGUGUGAUCAAAGUGGCAACCCCCACCACUCAGCACUGACCUAUUUCUGCUCCUAUUUCAUCAGGUCAGAAAUACACCGUCUGCUGACUAGAAAAACAAAGUCUGGGUCUUUACCACAUCCAAGUAAUCAAAGCUGUGUGAAGGGGCAGAACGACUUCCCAAGUAGACGGUGUGUGUGUAUGUGUGUGUGCAACUCCUGCCUUAUGAAGAUCAAAUCACAAAGUAAGAAACAUACACAUGUACUGUACAUUUUUACUUUGUUUAAAGCUAUAAUCCUUGGGAUUGCAUUAUAUGAAAACAAAAUAUCCAACUGGUUGUGUGUUUGAUGUAAUUCAAACUGCAAAAAUAUUUAUUCAAAUAUAAAUAAUGAGUGCAAGACACAAUUCCCCGCUGUGAAUGGCAUACUGAGCUGAAGAUCAGAGGAAAUGGGAUGCUUAAAGGUACACGCUUGUACACAGUGUGGGUAUUUUGGCAGGUUGCAUCCUCCGGGUCCAAAGACUGAAGCCAAUGGUCCUGAAAACGUAAAGCGGUGAAAUAUAUCAUUUGCUCUUUAUUGUUUUCCUACCCAACAUUUUUUGGCCUCUGCUCAGAAAAUUCCAAUGAUAAAAAGUGUAAUUACUCUGGAACUACUUCUGCCUAUCUGGAUAUUUUUUUCUGUAGGAAAAAGAGGAACCCCUGUGAGUGUGCUGAUGUGUAAAAAUAAGUCUGUGUGUUACUUUAAAGAGAAAUAAAUGGAACACCAAAAAAUCCUUUGGAUUUUGAGAAUCACCUGAGAUGAAAUCACCAACCGGGUGAUUAUCCAGCCCUAUAAAAUAUUUAUAUAUCAGCCUGAAUACACCUCUAGGUCAUUAUGUAGACAGAACACAUGGAACGUUUUACGUUGAUAGUCAGGAUUACUAGUCUAGGACAGGCUUUUAUGAUAGAGAAAUGGGAGGACUUAAAAUCUGGAUUUUUAGUCUGUCUGGUUGGCCGAUUUGCACGUUCAAACCCUCUUUCAAGUUGUCUCACCCUAUUAGAUCCGAUUGACGGGGAGAAGAGCGACAGCUCCCUUAGCCACUCAGAAGCCAAAAUGGGUGGAACAUAAAUGACGCUCGGCAGUAACGUUUACCUGUGAAAUUUUAUCCCCUAACCCCCCUAACGUCACUUAAAAGUGACAAGAAGCUUGGAUUUCUGCCCGUAUUACAGCGCAGAAAGAUUCUUUUCAUAAUAUUGUUCAAAACGACGCAGGUAUGCAUUUAUGAUUUUCACAAUACAAGUGAUUAGUGUCGAUGAACGCAAAUUAAUUCAGAUGCUCAAUGAAUUCAUAGGAAACAUAGAUAUGUUACAAAUAAAUAGGAAAGAUUAGAUAUUUCUAGGUUUGAAAACCCAUAAUUUAAAAUUUUCUUUAAUGAAAAUCAUCCAAAUGUAACGAAAAUACAUAAAAAGGUCUCCAAUGACAAUACAAAUCCAGGAUGGAGGUGGCUGCAAGAGAUAAGAUUUAAGGUUUUCAGAUUACAAGCAAACCCUGUCAUUGCCUGAACUCACUGUUUUGCAUUGUAGCCAUUACUGACAAUGACAAGCACAUCCAUUCAAAUUGGUAAUGGGCUGCAUUUGUUCACUCACUUUCUCAUCACAUUGUGCAAAUAGCUGCAGACAAUGGAAUAAUUACACUGUGUGCACACAGAUAGCCAGCACACCUAAUGUUGCUCCCAAGGGAACAGUCUUGGAGUGUCUACCAGUCACCACUACUUGUUCUCUGUUCAUACUUCCCACUGGAGCUUUAAACCAGUGGGUCUCAUGAGCUGAGAAACCAUUUAAACGGCAUCAUGAGGCCCAAUGAGCACCUACAUGAGUAGGAGAAUGGCCCCUAUGCACAUUUUUCAUCGUUCUAUGAUCAUUUUAUUUAUUUUCUUCUAUUUUGAAAUGCAGCCCAUUUUUAGCUAGUUAAUGAGAUAACAUUAUAUAUAUUUGUAGUCAUACGUAUAUGUUCUGUUCUUUGUUACAUGACAAUAUUGUCAAAGUUUUUGAAUCGUACUAAAUUUCAUAUGAUCUGUUAGUCGUGUAUUGAUUGCAUGCAGAUUUUGAUACAACUCUAUUCCUCAAUUUAAUCACACUAAAUAUUCACAUUCACAUCAUGAUCUUCCAGAUCUUUGCUUCCAGAAAUUUUCUUUAACCGGACAACUUUAUGUUUUAGUUGAAUACCCCUUAUGUAGAUGAAUGAAAUUAUGGAAAUUGGAUAAAAUAAUGUUGACGAAAAGUCAUUGGUAAAAAAGAGUGUAGUCCAAGAUCUACCAAAAUAGAAAUAGUAAUUAAAAGUGUUUAUUUAGACCGGUAAUGGUCAGUAGGCUCUGCUGAAACUCACAGACAGAAGUGAAUUGAACGUUGUUAUGCUAAUCAAUCUUUACUCAUUUACUCAGGCUGAGACUGUUUG